MicroRNA precursor from Neotoma lepida (desert woodrat), 70 nucleotides. It matches the Rfam family "mir-344 microRNA precursor family". NCBI's taxonomy places the organism in Eukaryota, Metazoa, Chordata, Mammalia, Rodentia, Cricetidae. The record is from Rfam.
UUACUAGUCAGGCUCUGGCUAUACACCAGGACAGAGUAGGUCCUGGGUAUAACCAAAGCCCGACUGAACA